This 251-nucleotide ribosomal RNA is filed under the name uncultured bacterium. RNAcentral describes it as "partial 16S ribosomal RNA". It matches the Rfam family "Bacterial small subunit ribosomal RNA", at positions 524 to 776 of the family's 1533-position model. The record is from RNAcentral.
UACGUAGGGUGCAAGCGUUAAUCGGAAUUACUGGGCGUAAAGCGUGCGUAGACGGUAGCGUAAGUCGGGUGUGAAAGCCCGGGCUCAACCUGGGAAUUGCAUUCGAGACUGCUCUGCUAGGGUGCGGAAGAGGGAAGCGGAAUUUCCGGUGUAGCGGUGAAAUGCGUAGAUAUCGGAAGGAACACCAGUGGCGAAAGCGGCUUCCUGGUCCAGCACCGACGUCAGGCACGAAAGCGUGGGGAGCAAACAGG